Molecule: ribosomal RNA, 253 nt
Filed under: uncultured bacterium
Lineage: Bacteria
Description: partial 16S ribosomal RNA
Rfam family: Bacterial small subunit ribosomal RNA
Source: RNAcentral
UACGUAGGGUGCGAGCGUUAAUCGGAAUUACUGGGCGUAAAGCGUGCGCAGGCGGCUUUGCAAGACAGAUGUGAAAUCCCCGGGCUCAACCUGGGAACUGCAUUUGUGACUGCAAGGCUAGAGUACGGCAGAGGGGGAUGGAAUUCCGCGUGUAGCAGUUAAAUGCGUAGAUAUGCGGAGGAACACCAAUGGCGAAGGCAAUCCCCUGGGCCUGUACUGACGCUCAUGCACGAAAGCGUGGGGAGCAAACAGG